RNAcentral lists this ribosomal RNA (122 nucleotides) under Paraphaeosphaeria sporulosa. Its description in RNAcentral is "partial 18S ribosomal RNA". Lineage: Eukaryota; Fungi; Ascomycota; Dothideomycetes; Pleosporales; Didymosphaeriaceae. The record is from RNAcentral.
GGUAGGGGUAACACCCUCACGCGCCGCAUUUCCUGCAUCCUUUUUUUACGAGCACCUUUCGUUCUCCUUCGGCGGGGCAACCUGCCGCUGGAACUUAACAAAACCUUUUUUGCAUCUAGCAU